Acanthosepion pharaonis is the source of this 114-nucleotide non-coding RNA. The record is from the annotation of a GenBank genome assembly. NCBI's taxonomy places the organism in Eukaryota, Metazoa, Mollusca, Cephalopoda, Sepiida, Sepiidae.
UUAUGGCCAUAUCACGUUGAAACAUCGGUUCCUAUACGAUCACCGAAGUUAAGCAACGUCUAACCUAGUCAGUACCUAGAUGAGUGACCGCUUGGAAAUACCAGGUAUUGUAAG